GAUGAACGCUAGCGGCAGGCCUAACACAUGCAAGUCGAGGGGUAGAACACUUCGGUGUUUGAGACCGGCGCACGGGUGCGUAACGCGUAUGCAAUCUACCUUGUACAGGGGAAUAGCCCAGAGAAAUUUGGAUUAAUGCCCCAUAGUAUAUAACCUUCGCAUGUUGGUUAUAUUAAAGUUCCAACGGUACAAGAUGAGCAUGCGUCCCAUUAGUUAGUUGGUAAGGUAACGGCUUACCAAGACGAUGAUGGGUAGGGGUCCUGAGAGGGAGAUCCCCCACACUGGUACUGAGACACGGACCAGACUCCUACGGGAGGCAGCAGUGAGGAAUAUUGGUCAAUGGUCGCAAGACUGAACCAGCCAUGCCGCGUGCAGGAAGACGGUCCUAUGGAUUGUAAACUGCUUUUAUACAGGAAGAAACCCUCCCACGUGUGGGAGCUUGACGGUACUGUAGGAAUAAGGAUCGGCUAACUCCGUGCCAGCAGCCGCUGUAA
This 494-nucleotide ribosomal RNA is filed under the name uncultured bacterium. RNAcentral's name for it is "partial 16S ribosomal RNA". It matches the Rfam family "Bacterial small subunit ribosomal RNA", at positions 28 to 523 of the family's 1533-position model. The record is from RNAcentral.